AGAGUUUGAUCAUGGCUCAGGAUGAACGCUAGCGGCAGGCUUAAUACAUGCAAGUCGAGGGGCAGCAGUCCCGUAGCAAUACGGGAGCUGGCGACCGGCAAACGGGUGCGGAACACGUACGCAACUUUCCUUCAACUGAGGAAUAGCCCAGGGAAACUUGGAUUAAUACCUCGUAAUAUUAUGAAAUGGCAUCAUUUUAUAAUUAUAGCUCCGGCGGUUGAAGAUGGGCGUGCGCCUGAUUAGGUAGUUGGCGGGGUAACGGCCCACCAAGCCUACGAUCAGUAACUGGUGUGAGAGCACGACCAGUCACACGGGCACUGAGACACGGGCCCGACUCCUACGGGAGGCAGCAGUAAGGAAUAUUGGGCAAUGGACGCAAGUCUGACCCAGCCAUGCCGCGUGGAGGAUGAAGGUCCUCUGGAUUGUAAACUUCUUUUAUUUGGGAAGAAACCCAUAUUUUCUAAUGUGGUUGACGGUACCAGAUGAAUAAGCACCGGCUAACUCCGUGCCAGCAGCCGCGGUAAUACGGAGGGUGCAAGCGUUAUCCGGAUUCACUGGGUUUAAAGGGUGCGUAGGUGGGCAGGUAAGUCAGUGGUGAAAUCUCCGGGCUUAACCCGGAAACUGCCGUUGAUACUAUCUGUCUUGAAUAUCGUGGAGGUUAGCGGAAUAUGUCAUGUAGCGGUGAAAUGCUUAGAUAUGACAUAGAACACCGAUUGCGAAGGCAGCUAACUACACGAUCAUUGACACUGAGGCACGAAAGCGUGGGGAGCAAACAGGAUUAGAUACCCUAGUAGUCC
This 797-nucleotide ribosomal RNA is filed under the name uncultured bacterium. Its description in RNAcentral is "bacterial SSU rRNA". It matches the Rfam family "Bacterial small subunit ribosomal RNA", at positions 8 to 796 of the family's 1533-position model. The record is from RNAcentral.